Molecule: RNA transcript, 1217 nt
Organism: Malus domestica (apple)
Lineage: Eukaryota; Viridiplantae; Streptophyta; Magnoliopsida; Rosales; Rosaceae
Gene name: riboflavin synthase-like
Source: RefSeq, a predicted model, not a curated record
UUAGUCUAUCCGAAAACAAUUAGAUAGGUAGAUGUGGCGAACGAGCGUACAAAAGAUCCCAACCUGUGUCGCAAUCCGAAACAACACAGAAUGGCAGUGGCACUCUCAACAACUCCUCAACCCUGUGUUGUACAAAAGUUCCACUCUGUCUCCUCCAAAACCCUCCGAAAUUUCAACCCCCUUUUCAAACCCUCCACUCAAACCCUCUUCCUCAGCUUCCAAAAACCCAAAACCCAUCUCCAAUCUCCUCCUCGCAACACAAUCCGAUGCCUUUUCACCGGCAUUGUCGAGGAAAUGGGCCAAAUCAAGCAACUUGGCACCUCCCAAAACGGCGGUUUCGACAUGAAAAUCGGCGCCAAAACCGUUCUGGAGGGCGUUCACCUCGGGGAUAGCAUUGCAGUCAAUGGAACGUGCCUGACGGUGACUGAAUUCGAUACCCAAUUGUCCGAUUUCACAGUCGGUCUGUCGCCGGAGACGCUUAGGAAGACGUCUCUGAUCGAGCUCGAAGCCGGGUCACUUGUGAAUUUGGAGCGGGCGGUGCAGCCCACCAGCAGAAUGGGCGGGCACUUUGUGCAGGGUCAUGUGGAUGGCACAGGGGAGAUAGUGUCAAUGGAGCCCGAGGGUGAUUCGCUGUGGAUCAAGGUAAAGGCAUCAAAGGAGGUGUUGAAGUAUGUGGUGCCGAAAGGGUUUAUAGCCGUCGAUGGUACUAGUUUGACUGUGGUGGAUGUGUUUGAUAAAGAAGAGUGCUUUAAUUUCAUGUUGGUUGCUUAUACUCAACAGAAAGUGGUGAUUCCGUUGAAGAAAAUCAGGUCAAAGGUGAAUUUGGAGGUUGAUAUACUCGGGAAGUAUGUCGAAAGACUUCUCAGUAGCGGGUUUGUCGAUUCAUUCAAAUCUUCAUGACUCAUAAGGUCAUCACCCAUGCGGCUUGUACACACUUGUGAUUGGGUUAGCAACUGAGCCAAUUGGUGGCUGUAGGAAUGCUGUUCAGAAUUUUGGCCGCUUUUAGCUUCGCUGUUUGUUUUUUGGAAGCAUUUAUAGCACCAAGGGCAUCACUGUAAGCCACCGAUGCUCCUCAAGUGUGUUUUGGGCCUCAAAUUGCACAUUAGAAAAAUCAUUCUGCAGCGAGUCUGAUGAAGAUUUCUCUCAUAUUCUGUCCGGAAAGGCAUAUGAACUAAAUUAUGUAUAGUAUUGUAGGGUUUAAAUUUUUCUGUGUCAAA